This is a long non-coding RNA of Homalodisca vitripennis (glassy-winged sharpshooter), 1906 nucleotides long. RefSeq lists it as uncharacterized. The transcript has 4 exons. The record is from RefSeq and is a predicted model, not a curated record. NCBI's taxonomy places the organism in Eukaryota, Metazoa, Arthropoda, Insecta, Hemiptera, Cicadellidae.
AGAUAAUCAUAUAAUUUCAUAUAAUAGAAGCAUAGAAGUUAUUGUAUAUAUCAACAAAACUUAUUAUACAGAACUUCUAUUAUAUAUGAAAAUCAGAUAGUUAGUUAAUCAUUGUUCAAUAAAUUUUAAUGAAUAUUGAAAUUUUUGUGUGUAAAAAGAUUGAAUAUUUCAAUCAGAAUCACUUUGUUCGUUAUGUCCUGUAUUUAUCUCUUACCUACGCGUACCAGCCGCCACUGUUGAAAAAAUAAAUGUUUAGUGUUUUUCAUAUUCCAUCAUCUGUAAAGUGUCUCAGUCAGCUGUAGACUGAUUCUAAGCAAAUAAACAACUAUCACAAAAGUACACUUUGUUCAUUUGCCUUACGAAUUUCCACAAUCGCUACUAAGAUAAAGAACAUCUACAUACCAAAUUCAGUGUACAGUCGAUGCAGUAGAUAGUUUGUCCUCUACCCAAGAGUUGGCGCCAACGAAUACAUCCUAGUGGCAGUUGAUGGUUACUCAAAGUUAAACUGGUUGCUUCCAUCGAAAAAUUACGUCAGGUCCCAAGGAUACUAAAAAGAGAGAUUGAAGAGACUUUAGAACUAAAUACCCUGAGAAGAGAGUCCCUCUCUUCUGAUGGUCUUUGGUUCCAAAGUCUCCAUGGAGAGAUGCACGAGGAAGUUGGAAGCCAAGAGUUCAUAGAAGAAAUAUUGAAGGGGUAUUAAAAUUCUUUCGUUGAGAAGGGUCACAGAAGAAAUAAUGUAAUUCAAUAUUAUUUGCAAUAUAAUCAAAUUAUAUUAACCAGUUCAAGAAUGUUAUUUUACUUGUUGGCUAAUAAUAUAUUUAUAUAAAAUUAUAAUGUUGAAUAUGUUUGUCUAUACAAUUCACAGGUCCCAAGGAUACUAAAAAGAGAGAUUGAAGAGACUUUAGAUCUAAAUACCCUGAGAAGAGAGUCCCUCUCUUCUGAUGGUCUUUGGUUCCAAAGUCUCCAUGGAGAGAUGCACGAGGAAGUUGGAAGCCAAGAGUUCAUAGAAGAAAUAUUGAAGGGGUAUUAAAAUUCUUUCGUUGAGAAGGGUCACAGAAGAAAUAAUGUAAUUCAAUAUUAUUUGCAAUAUAAUCAAAUUAUAUUAACCAGUUCAAGAAUGUUAUUUUACUUGUUGGCUAAUAAUAUAUCUAUAUAAAAUUAUAAUGUUGAAUAUGUUUGUCUAUACAAUUCACAGGUCCCAAGGAUACUAAAAAGAGACAUUGAAGAGACUUUAGAUCUAAAUACCCUGAGAAGAGAGUCCCUCUCUUCUGAUGGUCUUUGGUUCCAAAGUCUCCAUGGAGAGAUGCACGAGGGAGUUGGAAGCCAAGAGUUCUUAGAAGAAAUAUUGAACAGGAUACCAAGAAGAGAGAUUGGAGAGAAUUUGGAUCCAAAUACACUGAGAAGACAGUCCCUCUCUUCCAAUGGUUUUCGGUUCCAAAGACUCCAUUGAUAGAUAAAGAAGAGGGUUCGUUUCCAAGAAGCUUAGAAGAAUUUUUUACGAUGUAUCAAGAAUUUUAAAAUUCUAACCUUAUAUAACCUUCGAUUUAACAGCCUACAAAAGGCAGGACAAAGUUAAAUAACUUUUGUGAUAUAGUUUAAAACCUGUUGUUUUAAGGUAUGAUAUUUUAUUUCUUAACUAAUUAUAUAUCCACAUGAAAUAUAAUACACAUAUUUGUGAAUACACUUAACAGUUCAUAAGAAUACUAAGAAGACACGUUGAAGAGAAUUUGAGUCUCUCUCUUCUGAUGGUUUUCGGUUCCAAAGUAUUCAUGGAGAGAGUUCGAAGCCAAAAGUUCUUAUAAGGAAUAUUAAAGGUUUAUCAAGAUUUUUUCAUUGAGAAGUUCACAUAAGACAGAAUGUAGUUAAAUAUAAUUUGCAAUAUAAUAAAUUCUAUUGACCAGUUCAA